Molecule: ribosomal RNA, 798 nt
Filed under: Bacillus sp. LKS-143
Lineage: Bacteria; Bacillati; Bacillota; Bacilli; Caryophanales; Bacillaceae
Description: bacterial SSU rRNA
Rfam family: Bacterial small subunit ribosomal RNA
Source: RNAcentral
GCUAAUACAUGCAAGUCGAGCGGAUCUUCAUUAGCUUGCUUUUGAAGAUCAGCGGCGGACGGGUGAGUAACACGUGGGCAACCUGCCUGUAAGACUGGGAUAACUUCGGGAAACCGGAGCUAAUACCGGAUAAUCCUUUUCCUCUCAUGAGGAAAAGCUGAAAGACGGUUUCGGCUGUCACUUACAGAUGGGCCCGCGGCGCAUUAGCUAGUUGGUGAGGUAACGGCUCACCAAGGCGACGAUGCGUAGCCGACCUGAGAGGGUGAUCGGCCACACUGGGACUGAGACACGGCCCAGACUCCUACGGGAGGCAGCAGUAGGGAAUCUUCCGCAAUGGACGAAAGUCUGACGGAGCAACGCCGCGUGAGCGAUGAAGGCCUUCGGGUCGUAAAGCUCUGUUGUCAGGGAAGAACAAGUAUCGGAGUAACUGCCGGUACCUUGACGGUACCUGACCAGAAAGCCACGGCUAACUACGUGCCAGCAGCCGCGGUAAUACGUAGGUGGCAAGCGUUGUCCGGAAUUAUUGGGCGUAAAGCGCGCGCAGGCGGUUCCUUAAGUCUGAUGUGAAAGCCCCCGGCUCAACCGGGGAGGGUCAUUGGAAACUGGGGAACUUGAGUGCAGAAGAGGAGAGCGGAAUUCCACGUGUAGCGGUGAAAUGCGUAGAGAUGUGGAGGAACACCAGUGGCGAAGGCGGCUCUCUGGUCUGUAACUGACGCUGAGGCGCGAAAGCGUGGGGAGCGAACAGGAUUAGAUACCCCUGGUAGUCCACGCCGUAAACGAUGAGUGCUAAGUGUUAGA